RNAcentral lists this ribosomal RNA (2006 nucleotides) under human gut metagenome. Its description in RNAcentral is "bacterial LSU rRNA". It matches the Rfam family "Bacterial large subunit ribosomal RNA", at positions 3 to 2039 of the family's 2925-position model. The record is from RNAcentral.
UCAAGGAAGAAAGGGCGUACGGAGAAUGCCUGGGCACAGAGAGGCGAUGAAGGACGCAGCGAACAGCGAAAUGCGGCGGCGAGCGGUAAGCACGCGAUGACCCGCCGAUAUCCGAAUGGGGAAACCCCUCCGCUCAAGAAGCGGAGACCGCAUGACGACCGUCAUGACGGGGCAAUACGCAGGGAACUGAAACAUCUAAGUACCUGCAGGAAGAGAAAGAGAAGUCGAUUCCGUAAGUAGCGGCGAGCGAAAGCGGAGGAGCCCAAACCGGACACAGUCCGGGGUUGUAGGACCGCCGAUAAAGAUGACAUGAAGAGUCAGGAGAAUCCCAUGGGAAGGGGAUCCGAAGAGGGUGAGAGACCCGUAUCCGAAGGCUCGACAUGGAUCGAGGCGGCACCUGAGUACGGCGGGGCACGUGGAAUCCUGCCGGAAUCAUCGGGGACCAUCCCGAAAGGCUAAACACUACUCUGUGACCGAUAGCGAACCAGUACCGUGAGGGAAAGGUGAAAAGAACCCCGGGAGGGGAGUGAAAGAGAACCUGAAACCGCAUGCCCACAAGAAGUCAGAGCCCGUCAAAGGGUGAUGGCGUGCCUUUUGUAGAAUGAGCCGGCGAGUCACGAUCAGCAGGCGAGGUUAAGCAGGAGAUGCGGAGCCGCAGCGAAAGCGAGUCUUAACAGGGCGGAAUAGUCUGAGGUCGUGGACCCGAAACCGGGUGAUCUAGCCAUGAGCAGGUUGAAGUCGGGGUAAGACCCGAUGGAGGACCGAACCGACCCCCGUUGAAACGUUGGCGGAUGACUUGUGGCUAGGGGUGAAAUUCCAAUCGAACCCGGAGAUAGCUGGUUCUCCCCGAAAUAGCUUUAGGGCUAGCGUCGCAGCGAGAGAGCCGUGAAGGUAGAGCACUGAAUAUGCGAUGGCCGCAUCCCGCGGUACUGAGCAUAAUCAAACUCCGAAUGUCACGGUGUCAUCUGCGGCAGUCAGACGGCGAGUGAUAAGGUCCGUCGUCAAGAGGGAAACAGCCCAGACCAUCAGCUAAGGUCCCAAAGUGCAUGCUAAGUGGAAAAGGAAGUGGAGACGUGCAGACAACUAGGAGGUUGGCUCAGAAGCAGCCAUCCUUCAAAGAGUGCGUAACAGCUCACUAGUCGAAUGACUCUGCGCCGAUAAUUUACCGGGGCUAAGCAUGACACCGAAGCUAUGGACAGGAAUGUGGUAGGGGAGCAUUGCAUGCAGCGGAGAAGCAUGACCGAAAGGGCAUGUGGAGCGCAUGGAAGAGAGAAUGCCGGCGUGAGUAGCGGCACGUGGGUGAGAAUCCCACGCACCGAUGGCCCAAGGUCUCCAGAGGAAGGCUCGUCCUCUCUGGGAUAGUCGGGACCUAAGGCGAGGCCGAAAGGCGUAGCCGAUGGACGACGGGUGGAUAUUCCCGUACCCGAUGUGUGGCGAUGGAGUGACGGAGAAGGCUCAGGCAACCAGCUGCUGGAAUAGCUGGGGCAAGCGAGAUACCUGCGCACCAGGGAAAUCCGGUGCGCAUAAGGGGAAGGCGCGAAGCAUACGGAAAGCUUCGGCAAGUACGGAAAAGCUGAGAGCAGGCUUCCAGGAAAAGCUUCUAGCACAACACACAUCGGCCCGUACCGAAAAUGGACACACAUGGGCAAGGAGAGAAUCCUGAGGUGAGCGAGAGAACUAUAGCUAAGGAACUCUGCAAAAUGACCCCGUAACCUAGGGAGAAGGGGUGCUCCAGAAAUGGAGCCGCAGUAAAACGGCCCAAGCGACUGUUUACCAAAAACACAGCUCUCUGCGAAGGCGCAAGCCGAAGUAUAGGGGGUGACGCCUGCCCGGUGCUGGAAGGUCAAGGGGAGCUGUCAGCGCAAGCGAAGCAGCGAGCCGAAGCCCCAGUAAACGGCGGCCGUAACUAUAACGGUCCUAAGGUAGCGAAAUUCCUUGUCGGGCAAGUUCCGACCCGCACGAAAGGCGUAACGAUUUGGGCGCUGUCUCAGCUGUAGACUCGGUGA